ACGGAAGGCAGCAGUGGGGGAUAUUGCACAAUGGAGGAAACCCUGAUGCAGCAACGCCACGUGUGGGAAGAAGCAUUUCGGUGUGUAAACCACUGUCGUGAGGGAAUAAUGCUUGGUUUCGGCCAAGUUGAAUGUACCUCGAAAGGAAGCACCGGCAAACUUCGUGCCAGCAGCCGCGGUAAUACGAGGGGUGCAAGCGUUGUUCGGAAUCACUGGGCGUAAAGGGAGCGCAGGCGGAGAUGCAAGCAGUCUGUACAAUCCCGGGGCCCAACCCCGGACCUGCAGACUGGACUGUUUCUCUUGGAUAGUUCAGGGGCAAGCGGAAUUCCUGGUGUAGCGGUGGAAUGCGUAGAGAUCAGGAAGAACACCGAUGGCGAAGGCAGCUUGCUGGGGACUUAUCGACGCUCAUGCUCGAAAGUGCGGGUAGCAAACAGGAUUAGAUACCCUGGUA
RNAcentral lists this ribosomal RNA (451 nucleotides) under uncultured Fibrobacter sp. RNAcentral describes it as "bacterial SSU rRNA". It matches the Rfam family "Bacterial small subunit ribosomal RNA", at positions 341 to 792 of the family's 1533-position model. Lineage: Bacteria; Pseudomonadati; Fibrobacterota; Fibrobacteria; Fibrobacterales; Fibrobacteraceae. The record is from RNAcentral.